Molecule: ribosomal RNA, 270 nt
Filed under: uncultured bacterium
Lineage: Bacteria
Description: partial 16S ribosomal RNA
Rfam family: Bacterial small subunit ribosomal RNA
Source: RNAcentral
GAUGAACGCUAGCGGCAGGCCUAAUACAUGCAAGCCGAACGGCAAGUUGAGUAGCAAUACUUGACCUAGAGUGGCGUAAGGGUGCGUAACACGUAUGCAAUCUGCCCGCAACAGGAGGAUAGCUCCCCGAAAGGGGAAUUAAUACUCCAUAAGAUCACGAGAGGGCAUCUGAUUGUGAUUAAACUACAAGGGGUUGCGGAUGAGCAUGCGGUUGAUUAGCUAGUUGGUAAGGUAACGGCUUACCAAGGCGAUGAUCAAUAGGGGAACUGA